UACGUAGGGUCCGAGCGUUGUCCGGCAUUAUUGGGCGUAAAGGGCUCGUAGGCGGUUUGUCGCGUCGGGAGUGAAAACACCGGGCUUAACUCGGUGCUUGCUUUCGAUACGGGCAGACUGGAGGUAUGCAGGGGAGAACGGAAUUCCUGGUGUAGCGGUGAAAUGCGCAGAUAUCAGGAGGAACACCGGUGGCGAAGGCGGUUCUCUGGGCAUUACCUGAUGCUGAGGAGCGAAAGUGUGGGGAGCGAACAGG
This 253-nucleotide ribosomal RNA is filed under the name uncultured bacterium. RNAcentral describes it as "partial 16S ribosomal RNA". It matches the Rfam family "Bacterial small subunit ribosomal RNA", at positions 524 to 776 of the family's 1533-position model. The record is from RNAcentral.